Molecule: ribosomal RNA, 1887 nt
Filed under: Staphylococcus epidermidis
Lineage: Bacteria; Bacillati; Bacillota; Bacilli; Caryophanales; Staphylococcaceae
Description: bacterial LSU rRNA
Rfam family: Bacterial large subunit ribosomal RNA
Source: RNAcentral
AAGGUCCCAAAAUAUAUGUUAAGUGGAAAAGGAUGUGGCGUUGCCCAGACAACUAGGAUGUUGGCUUAGAAGCAGCCAUCAUUUAAAGAGUGCGUAAUAGCUCACUAGUCGAGUGACACUGCGCCGAAAAUGUACCGGGGCUAAACAUAUUACCGAAGCUGUGGAUUGUCCUUUGGACAAUGGUAGGAGAGCGUUCUAAGGGCGUCGAAGCAUGAUCGCAAGGACAUGUGGAGCGCUUAGAAGUGAGAAUGCCGGUGUGAGUAGCGAAAGACGGGUGAGAAUCCCGUCCACCGAUUGACUAAGGUUUCCAGAGGAAGGCUCGUCCGCUCUGGGUUAGUCGGGUCCUAAGCUGAGGCCGACAGGCGUAGGCGAUGGAUAACAGGUUGAUAUUCCUGUACCACCUAGUAUCGUUUUAAUCGAUGGGGGGACGCAGUAGGAUAGGCGAAGCGUGCUGUUGGAGUGCACGUCCAAGCAGUAAGGCUGAGUGUUAGGCAAAUCCGGCACUCAUAAGGCUGAGCUGUGAUGGGGAGAGGAAAUUGUUUCCUCGAGUCGUUGAUUUCACACUGCCGAGAAAAGCCUCUAGAUAGAUAACAGGUGCCCGUACCGCAAACCGACACAGGUAGUCAAGAUGAGAAUUCUAAGGUGAGCGAGCGAACUCUCGUUAAGGAACUCGGCAAAAUGACCCCGUAACUUCGGGAGAAGGGGUGCUCUUUAGGGUUCACGCCCAGAAGAGCCGCAGUGAAUAGGCCCAAGCGACUGUUUAUCAAAAACACAGGUCUCUGCUAAACCGUAAGGUGAUGUAUAGGGGCUGACGCCUGCCCGGUGCUGGAAGGUUAAGAGGAGUGGUUAGCUUCUGCGAAGCUACGAAUCGAAGCCCCAGUAAACGGCGGCCGUAACUAUAACGGUCCUAAGGUAGCGAAAUUCCUUGUCGGGUAAGUUCCGACCCGCACGAAAGGCGUAACGAUUUGGGCACUGUCUCAACGAGAGACUCGGUGAAAUCAUAGUACCUGUGAAGAUGCAGGUUACCCGCGACAGGACGGAAAGACCCCGUGGAGCUUUACUGUAGCCUGAUAUUGAAAUUCGGCACAGCUUGUACAGGAUAGGUAGGAGCCUUUGAAACGUGAGCGCUAGCUUACGUGGAGGCGUUGGUGGGAUACUACCCUAGCUGUGUUGGCUUUCUAACCCGCACCACUUAUCGUGGUGGGAGACAGUGUCAGGCGGGCAGUUUGACUGGGGCGGUCGCCUCCUAAAAGGUAACGGAGGCGCUCAAAGGUUCCCUCAGAAUGGUUGGAAAUCAUUCAUAGAGUGUAAAGGCAUAAGGGAGCUUGACUGCGAGACCUACAAGUCGAGCAGGGUCGAAAGACGGACUUAGUGAUCCGGUGGUUCCGCAUGGAAGGGCCAUCGCUCAACGGAUAAAAGCUACCCCGGGGAUAACAGGCUUAUCUCCCCCAAGAGUUCACAUCGACGGGGAGGUUUGGCACCUCGAUGUCGGCUCAUCGCAUCCUGGGGCUGUAGUCGGUCCCAAGGGUUGGGCUGUUCGCCCAUUAAAGCGGUACGCUAGCUGGGUUCAGAACGUCGUGAGACAGUUCGGUCCCUAUCCGUCGUGGGCGUAGGAAAUUUGAGAGGAGCUGUCCUUAGUACGAGAGGACCGGGAUGGACAUACCUCUGGUGUACCAGUUGUCGUGCCAACGGCAUAGCUGGGUAGCUAUGUAUGGACGGGAUAAGUGCUGAAAGCAUCUAAGCAUGAAGCCCCCCUCAAGAUGAGAUUUCCCAACUUCGGUUAUAAGAUCCCUCGAAGAUGACGAGGUUAAUAGGUUCGAGGUGGAAGCGUGGUGACACGUGGAGCUGACGAAUACUAAUCGAUCGAAGACUUAAUCAAUUUUUAAA